RNAcentral lists this ribosomal RNA (400 nucleotides) under uncultured bacterium. RNAcentral's name for it is "bacterial SSU rRNA". It matches the Rfam family "Bacterial small subunit ribosomal RNA", at positions 355 to 771 of the family's 1533-position model. The record is from RNAcentral.
UGGGGAAUCUUGCACAAUGGGCGCAAGCCUGAUGCAGCAACGCCGCGUGCGGGAAGAAGGCCCUAGGGUUGUAAACCGCUUUCAGCAGGGAAGAAGAUGACGGUACCUGUAGAAGAAGGUGCGGCCAACUACGUGCCAGCAGCCGCGGUGACACGUAGGCACCAAGCGUUGUCCGGAUUUAUUGGGCGUAAAGAGCUUGUAGGCGGUUCGGUAAGUCGGGUGUGAAACCUCUGGGCUCAACUCAGAGACGCCACCCGAUACUGCUGUGACUCGAGUGCGGUAGGGGAGCGGGGAAUUCCUGGUGUAGCGGUGAAAUGCGCAGAUAUCAGGAGGAACACCAGUGGCGAAGGCGCCGCUCUGGGCCGUAACUGACGCUGAGAAGCGAAAGCGUGGGUAGCAA